This 266-nucleotide ribosomal RNA is filed under the name uncultured archaeon. Its description in RNAcentral is "partial 16S ribosomal RNA". It matches the Rfam family "Archaeal small subunit ribosomal RNA", at positions 719 to 982 of the family's 1478-position model. The record is from RNAcentral.
ACACGACUACAUUAGAUACCCGUGUAGUCCUAGCCGUAAACGAUACUCGCUAGGUGUCGGCCACGGUGCGACCGUUGUCGGUGCCGUAGGGAAGCCGUGAAGCGAGCCACCUGGGAAGUACGGCCGCAAAGGCUGAAACUUAAAGGAAUUGGCGGGGGAGCACAACAACGGGUGGAGCUUGCGGUUUAAUUGGACUCAACGCCGGGAAGCUCACCGGAUAAGACAGCGGAAUGAUUGCCGGGCUGAAGACCCUGCAUGACCAGCUG